Small nucleolar RNA from Salvia hispanica, 78 nucleotides. RefSeq annotates it as small nucleolar RNA U30. Lineage: Eukaryota; Viridiplantae; Streptophyta; Magnoliopsida; Lamiales; Lamiaceae. The record is from RefSeq and is a predicted model, not a curated record.
CGCGAUGAUGAUGUGAUUAUAUCUCGUUAAUCCGAAAUUAACUGAGGAAAAUUAUCAAUCCAUUCUGUGUGUCUGAGC